GACGAACGCUGGCGGCGUGCUUAACACAUGCAAGUCGUACGGUAAGGCCCUUUCGGGGGUACACGAGUGGCGAACGGGUGAGUAACACGUGAGUAACCUGCCCACAACUUUGGGAUAACGCUAGGAAACUGGUGCUAAUACUGGAUAUGUGCUCCUGCUGCAUGGUGGGGGUUGGAAAGCUCCGGCGGUUGUGGAUGGACUCGCGGCCUAUCAGCUUGUUGGUGGGGUAGUGGCCUACCAAGGCGGCGACGGGUAGCCGGCCUGAGAGGGUGACCGGCCACAUUGGGACUGAGAUACGGCCCAGACUCCUACGGGAGGCAGCAGUGGGGAAUAUUGCACAAUGGGCGCAAGCCUGAUGCAGCAACGCCGCGUGCGGGAUGACGGCCUUCGAGUUGUAAACCGCUUUCAGCAGGGACGAAGCUUUUUGUGACGGUACCUGCAGAAGAAGCACCGGCUAACUACGUG
Molecule: ribosomal RNA, 465 nt
Filed under: uncultured bacterium
Lineage: Bacteria
Description: partial 16S ribosomal RNA
Rfam family: Bacterial small subunit ribosomal RNA
Source: RNAcentral